GGAGGAAUGGCUGAGUGGCCGAAAGCGGCGGUCUUGAAAACCGUUGACCCUUUGCGGGGUCCGUGGGUUCGAAUCCUACUUCCUCCGCCA
Molecule: transfer RNA, 90 nt
Filed under: Acidobacteriota bacterium
Lineage: Bacteria; Pseudomonadati; Acidobacteriota
Description: Acidobacteria bacterium tRNA-Ser
Rfam family: tRNA
About the family: Transfer RNA (tRNA) molecules are approximately 80 nucleotides in length. Their secondary structure includes four short double-helical elements and three loops (D, anti-codon, and T loops).
Source: RNAcentral